Molecule: ribosomal RNA, 429 nt
Filed under: Chloroflexota bacterium
Lineage: Bacteria; Bacillati; Chloroflexota
Description: Chloroflexi bacterium partial 16S ribosomal RNA
Rfam family: Bacterial small subunit ribosomal RNA
Source: RNAcentral
UGGGGAAUAUUGCACAAUGGGCGCAAGCCUGAUGCAGCCAUGCCGCGUGUAUGAAGAAGGCCAUCGGGUUGUAAAGUACUUUCAGCGGGGAGGAAGGGAGUAAAGUUAAUACCUUUGCUCAUUGACGUUACCCGCAGAAGAAGCACCGGCUAACUCCGUGCCAGCAGCCGCGGUAAUACGGAGGGUGCAAGCGUUAAUCGGAAUUACUGGGCGUAAAGCGCACGCAGGCGGUUGAUUGAGUCAGAUGUGAAAUCCCCGGGCUUAACCCGGGAACUGCAUCUGAUACUGGCAAGCUUGAGUCUCGUAGAGGGGGGUAGAAUUCCAGGUGUAGCGGUGAAAUGCGUAGAGAUCUGGAGGAAUACCGGUGGCGAAGGCGGCCCCCUGGACGAAGACUGACGCUCAGGUGCGAAAGCGUGGGGAGCAAACAGG